AUCAAUGCGCGUGUCUUUGAAGAUUAACUGUUACUUCGCUUAAAAACCCCAAAUGUUUUUCGAUAACCUGGAAUAAAGAGGAGUUGGAUAAUUUUACUGUAAACCGACGGAUAAAACGGCCGUCUACGUCGACCCUGCAGCAGUACGGCCCGCUGUCUGUCCGCCUCACAUUGAGGAUGUCCAGGUCCAUCUGUCCAUCCAGGACGUCCCCCGUGAGCCGGUACCUGUCGUCAGCCUGCAGCGUCAAGCUCCUGAAAGAGAAGAACCAGAGGAGGAGGCUGACCUUGGAGAUGACCCCGUUCUCAUCCGUCUGCACCAGGAUGCUGCUGCACCAGAAGGUCCCGCAGCCUCGACCCCAGCAGACCCGACUCAGCCCGAACCGAUUCACCGAGUACUGACAGGACAGAGAGGCCACGCCCCCCUCCAUCACCUUAAAGCAGGAGACAGACAGCAGUGG
Long non-coding RNA from Cyprinodon variegatus (sheepshead minnow), 457 nucleotides. RefSeq lists it as uncharacterized. NCBI's taxonomy places the organism in Eukaryota, Metazoa, Chordata, Actinopteri, Cyprinodontiformes, Cyprinodontidae. The record is from RefSeq and is a predicted model, not a curated record. The transcript is spliced from 3 exons.